RNAcentral lists this ribosomal RNA (253 nucleotides) under uncultured bacterium. RNAcentral describes it as "partial 16S ribosomal RNA". It matches the Rfam family "Bacterial small subunit ribosomal RNA", at positions 524 to 776 of the family's 1533-position model. The record is from RNAcentral.
UACGGAGGGUGCAAGCGUUAUCCGGAUUCACUGGGUUUAAAGGGUGCGUCGGCUGCUGCAUAAGUCAGGGGUGAAAGUUUGUCGCUUAACGAUAGAAUUGCCUUUGAUACUGUGCGGCUUGAAAUUAGGUGAGGUUGGCGGAAUGUGACAUGUAGCGGUGAAAUGCGUAGAUAUGUCAUAGAACACCGAUUGCGAAGGCAGCUGGCUAACCUAAAUUUGACGCUGAGGCACGAAAGCGUGUGUAGCAAACAGG